AGAGUUUGAUCCUGGCUCAGGAUGAACGCUGGCGGCGUGCUUAACACAUGCAAGUCGAACGGGAAUGCCACGCUGAUGCGAUUUCGGUCAAAUCAUGUGGCAUUCGAGUGGCGGACGGGUGAGUAACGCGUGGGUAACCUGCCUUACACAGGGGGAUAACACCUGGAAACAGGUGCUAAUACCGCAUAAGCGCACAGGGCCGCAUGGCCCGGUGUGAAAAACUCCGGUGGUGUAAGAUGGACCCGCGUCUGAUUAGCUUGUUGGCGGGGUAGGGGCCCACCAAGGCGACGAUCAGUAGCCGGCCUGAGAGGGUGGACGGCCACAUUGGGACUGAGACACGGCCCAAACUCCUACGGGAGGCAGCAGUGGGGGAUAUUGGACAAUGGGGGAAACCCUGAUCCAGCGACGCCGCGUGAGUGAAGAAGUAUUUCGGUAUGUAAAGCUCUGUCAGCAGGGAAGAAAGAAAUGACGGUACCUGACCAAGAAGCCCCGGCUAACUACGUGCCAGCAGCCGCGGUAAUACGUAGGGGGCAAGCGUUAUCCGGAAUUACUGGGUGUAAAGGGAGCGUAGACGGUGAUGCAAGUCUGGAGUGAAAGGCGGGGGCCCAACCCCCGGACUGCUCUGGAAACUGUGUAACUUGAGUGCAGGAGAGGUAAGCGGAAUUCCUAGUGUAGCGGUGAAAUGCGUAGAUAUUAGGAGGAACACCAGUGGCGAAGGCGGCUUACUGGACUGUAACUGACGUUGAGGCUCGAAAGCGUGGGGAGCAAACAGGAUUAGAUACCCUGGCAGUCCACGCCGUAAACG
This 805-nucleotide ribosomal RNA is filed under the name uncultured bacterium. RNAcentral describes it as "bacterial SSU rRNA". It matches the Rfam family "Bacterial small subunit ribosomal RNA", at positions 8 to 808 of the family's 1533-position model. The record is from RNAcentral.